RNAcentral lists this ribosomal RNA (406 nucleotides) under uncultured bacterium. RNAcentral's name for it is "partial 16S ribosomal RNA". It matches the Rfam family "Bacterial small subunit ribosomal RNA", at positions 30 to 526 of the family's 1533-position model. The record is from RNAcentral.
AUUGAACGAUGGCGGCAGGCCUAACAAAUGCAAGUCGAGCGAGCGGCGGACGGGUGAGUAAGGUCUGGGAAAUUGCCGGAUGGAGGGGGAUAAAUACUGGAAACGGUAGAUAAAACCGCAUAUCAUAAGAUGUGCCAAGAUGGGAUUAGCUAGUAGGGGGGGUAAAGGCUCACCUUGGCGACGAUCCCUAGCUGGUCUGAGAGGAUGACCAGCCACACUGGAACUGAGACACGGUCCAGCCUCCUACGGGAGGCAGCAGUGGGGAAUAUUGCACAAUGGGCGCAAGCCUGAUGCAGCCAUGCCGCGUGUAUGAAGAAGGCCUUCGGGUUGUAAAGUACUUUCAGCGGGGAGGCGUUACCCGCAGAAGAAGCACCGGCUAACUCCGUGCCAGCAGCCGCGGUAAUUC